This is a long non-coding RNA of Piliocolobus tephrosceles (Ugandan red Colobus), 1802 nucleotides long. NCBI's taxonomy places the organism in Eukaryota, Metazoa, Chordata, Mammalia, Primates, Cercopithecidae. The record is from Ensembl.
AUGCUAAUUCAAUAAAUUUAAUAAUUAUAUUGAAAAAAAAAAAAAUAGAAACCCGUACACAACAUAUAUACAUAUGCAUACGCACAUUUAUUAUUGAUAUAGACAUAUAGCACAACGCAUACAACAUACAACAUACAACAUACAACAUAAGAUAUAUAGUACACAGGUUUUUGUUCGAACAAAAUGUAUAAGAAAGUUUUUUUAUUAGUGUGCUUUGCCCUUAUGAGCAUAAUGUGCGCAGAAUCUAAAAAUAUUGUUUCUGCAUUUCUGUCAUAUUUUGACACCAAAAUAAAUUCAAAAAAUGAGAUAUCAAAAAUAAUAAAAAUUGGUAAUACUAUGGCUUGUCUGUUGAAUGAUGACAAUGUGACUUAUAACGAAUGUGCUUGUAGUUUUAAAAAAUUGAACGAGUUUGAAAAGAGUUGUGUAUCCAAUUUUAAAAAAAGUCAAGAGGAAGCAAAAAAUUGCUCGAUAGAACGUUGUGAAAUUUGCUGUAAUUUAGUUAGUUCGAAAAACAUAACAAAUUCUAUAUUAGAUUAUGAAUUAGACUGUAAAAAAAAAUGCACAAAAAAUAAUACUAUUUUAAGUUGCAAUCAAAAUGAUUAUAAAUUAGCCUUUCAAAAACUAGUUGAGUUUAUUCGUAUAUUUUACCCACCAACUGUUUUAAAUUACCACCCUAUUGAAAAUAAAAAAGUUCCUAAAUAUACUAAUAAAGUAUUGGGUUCAAAGUACGAUCGAAUAAUCGAAGAUUUGAAAGAUGAAGCGACAAUGAUCAAUGAGAAAAAUGAUAGUGAAGACACAAGUUUAAGUGUAGAUGAUGAGUUUGAAAGUUUAUUUUUAUCAUAAGGUAAAAACUAUUUUUUUUUUUUUUACAACACUAUUUUGAUAAGCUACAUUUUGUUACUAACCAUAGUGUUACUGUUUUUAUUUGUUUUAAUAUUAAAAAAAAAAAAUAACAAUAGGAAAAAAAAAUUUUUUUGUUUUUACGUUUCUUGCUAAUUUUUUUUGUUUAUUUUUGUUUUCAUAUUGUGUGUUAUGUUACAUAUUUUGUCCUAAUGCGAUAUUGUCUAUGUGUUGUUGAUUAUUGUAUAUAUUAUUAUGCCUUCUAUGUUAUCGAAAUUUUUUUUGUUGUUUUUUUUUUUUGUUUUUUUUUUUUUUUAAUUGCAUACAAACAUGUAACUUUCGUAGUACAAUUUAUAUUUAUAUAUGUUAAAAACAUGGAAUAUGGUUAUUAAUAUAUUUUUAUUUUAUUUUUUAAGUUCGUCAUCAAUGAUUUGAUCAAAUGUGUUUUUAAUUAGAAAUAGAUCAAAAACAUGGAAUAAGUGAAACAAUAUAUAUAUAUAUAUGCGUGUAACUUUUCUAAAAAAUUACAACUGAUUAAUUAGUUCGGAAAAAAGCAGUAGUGAUAAACAACACUUUUUUAUGAAAGUAUAAAAAUGUCCGAUUAUUUAAUUUUAGACAAGAGAAAAAAAAAAAAAAAAAAAAAACAUAUAACCACAAUGCCAAUAUAAUAUAUAUACAUACAUAUGUGCGUAUACAAUUCAGUAGACACCUAUAUGCUAACAAAUUUUGAUAUAAAUAUUUACUUAAGUCACACAUAAUAUUGUAUUUAUACAACAAAACAUGAGUUAAGAGUUUUACAAAAAUGUUAAUGAAGAUAUUCAUAGGUAAAAUACCACUGUUAUACAUAUUAAAAAUAAGAAAACAAAUCAGUUACAUAUUAAAUUUUAUUAUGAAACACCCAGCACUAACAUAAUCGUGAAAAUGAUGAGAUAUUAUAGUUAUUUCAAAAAGUAAGCGCAGAU